Araneus ventricosus is the source of this 71-nucleotide non-coding RNA. The record is from the annotation of a GenBank genome assembly. Lineage: Eukaryota; Metazoa; Arthropoda; Arachnida; Araneae; Araneidae.
UGGCCCAUGGGGGGGUCGAACCACGAUCUUCGCGCAUAGCACGACGCUCUAACCAACUGAGCUAAUGGGCC